This 304-nucleotide ribosomal RNA is filed under the name uncultured eukaryote. RNAcentral describes it as "partial 18S ribosomal RNA". It matches the Rfam family "Eukaryotic small subunit ribosomal RNA", at positions 1470 to 1796 of the family's 1831-position model. The record is from RNAcentral.
CCCUUAGAUGUUCUGGGCCGCACGCGUGCUACACUGAGUGGAUCAGCGGGUCAGGUUGCGCGAAAGCGUUUCCUAAUCUUUAAAUCCGCUCGUGAUGGGGAUUGACGGUUGCAAUUUUCUGUCAUGAACGAGGAAUACCUUGUAAGCGCGGGUCAUCAUCCCGCGCUGAAUACGUCCCUGCCCUUUGUACACACCGCCCGUCGCUCCUACCGAUUGAAUGGUUUAGUGAGGCCUUCGGAUCCGCGACUCGUUUGUGGAGAAGUUGGACAAACUCAGUCAUUUAGAGGAAGUAAAAGUCGUAACA